RNAcentral lists this long non-coding RNA (1102 nucleotides) under Bemisia tabaci. RNAcentral describes it as "lncRNA ENSSSA1UGG006900". Lineage: Eukaryota; Metazoa; Arthropoda; Insecta; Hemiptera; Aleyrodidae. The record is from RNAcentral.
CCUUCUCACUAAUUUUUGACCUCAACCUCUGCACUUCUCCCAUUUCCUAUAUAUACACGGCCAUAGUCAUAACUUUCGGGCUCUUCUAAAACUGCGCCUCUCUUAAAAACGAAAACUUUGCGACCUUCAUCUAAGCUUGAAGAUAACAGAAACUGUAUACUGAAAGGCUCCUCUGACUGAUUUCAAAGAUUAUGAACAAUCUUAUUUCGCUACCCACCUAAGGUUUUUUCAAAAGGAUUGAUAUGCAUCCAUAUUCUUUAUGAGAACUAAACAUAAUGAGAUGCACGAAUCUUCUGGACUUAAACUGGAGCAAAGCCAAACAUCUGCAUCAAUGAUUUUCAGCGGUUGUUCGGGGGCGCUGUUUGCUUAAUUAAUGGAACUAGAUUCGAAUUAAUAAGGUGAUCGAUCUUGUCGAAUUGCGUUUCUUCUACUGUGAGUGACUAUGCACUCUCUCAUUCUUGAGAAUCACAAUCGAGUACACACUACGUAUUUUAAAUUCCUGUGGGGCUCCAAAGACUAAUUUGAAAGAAAAUAUCUUGGUAGAUAUAUCCGCAGAAAGAGAAAAAUCGUGUCUGCUUUCACAAUUCAUAUCCUCAUUGACGUUACAAAUUUGAUUGAUUAAAAAUUUAUUAUAACAGAAAAGAGAACUCACCAAUAGUUGGAUUAUCAACAGUGGAGAUACGUACAGGCGAGGAAAAAUAAUUCGGAAAGAACUGCAGCAUACAUACCUGUAACAAAAAAGGAAGGAAACAUGUUACAUAAAUUCAUUAUACACAUAUUUACGUGAGCUUUUAGAAUUGAGGGUAUUUUAUUAAAUAGCUCCAAUCUCUAGAAACACUUCUAUUCUUGAUAAAACUUCUUACAAGUUCUUUGAAUUUAGGUAUAAAUGUUUUGAAAGUUGUACCGCUUUGGCGUGUCCAAUUGUUAAGCAUAAAGUGUUGUAUCUAAAUAGAUAGCGUUCUCUUGUAAAAAUUUAAAAUUUCCAGUUAAAUUUAGCCAUAGCUGAAGUGGCUUGGCUCCUUUCUGCUAAACGCGAUCCAAUUUCGGUUUUCCUGCCCUCCGUUGGGCCGUAUAAAUUCCUCUAGAAGACGGAGUAAGCUUG